CGCGGGUCCCAUUUGGCACAAAAUAUAAUAAUAUUAUGCGUGGGUAAAAAUGAAAAUAAACCGAAACCCCGGCGAUACGCUAACGAUACUGCUGCGGAUGAUAAUAAUAAUAUGGACUCGUGUCCGACGUGCGGCGACGGGGACGAGGAUAAAACACGAGAUAAUAUUAGGGGCGAAGGGGAAGGGUCGUAAAACGGUUUUUACACCUAUAAAUCGCGAAUCCUUUUCCGAACUCGACAAAAAAAAAAAUAAUAAUAUAAACUACGACGACGACGACGGCGAUAAUAAUAAUACGAUACCGCCGAUUCCUUAUUAUCGGUAAGUAUGUCCGAUGAUAAAAACGAUCGGGCAAAAAAAAAAAUGAAUAAUAAUACUUCACAAAUACCUGCGUACUGUGCGAUAAUGUUACAAGUGUUACCGACUAUACCAUUUCCGAAAAGAAAAAACAUUUCGAAAUCAAGCAUAAAAACCGUAGAGGUGAGCCGGAUUGAUUGUCCGAACCCCCGUACUAACGGCACGCGCACACGAAAU
Molecule: non-coding RNA, 531 nt
Organism: Cinara cedri
Lineage: Eukaryota; Metazoa; Arthropoda; Insecta; Hemiptera; Aphididae
Source: the annotation of a GenBank genome assembly